UUUAUGAGAGGCAUAAGGACAUCCUUGGUCUGGUCUAGAAAUAGCCUUGAAUGUGUCCACAUGUCAUGUGGACCAGUUUUUUUUUAUGAAUGAAAAAAGCACCACACCCAGGAGCACCGGGGCAAUGCUUCACCUUGCUCUUGACUGCCGCUUUGCCCCAAACAUCAUAGUACAUAUAUCGAUUGUUCGCUUUAACUUUGGACCUGCGCACUAGCAGAUACAGAUACUCGUACCAAGAUACAUAGAUACUAUAGAUACGCGUACUUAUGUAGAUGUUUUGGCCCCAGCUGCUUAUCACUGGCACAUUGACGACAAUGAGCUUUAUAUGAUGCAGAGACCGAACUGUUGCUUCCCACUGACGUCAUGGGAAUGCUGAUGAUUAGGGUUUCUUGCACCGAAUGUAACCAAAAUCCAAAGGCUGCAUAAUCACCGAGAAAAGCGAUGCGAAGUUUUGUUUAUCAUGUAAUUUGUAGUUGUAUAAAUGAAGUUAAUGAUAAAAUAUCAGAUAUCUGUGACUCCACUGUGGGUAAAGUCCUGAAACCAGUCGAACUGCUCCAGCCAGCGUUGCAUCACGCCGCCAAAGACGUACAGACGCACUGGAACGUAGUCGACCUCUUCGUUCACAUCGUCGGAGGAAUUGGAUGACUCGCGUUCGUUAUCCGAAUCGUCAUUCGACAGAAGGACAUCCAACGCAAUGAGGCAGUGCAGCAGAUAGAUAACACUGGACACCAAUGAGGCUGUCGCCUGGUCCCGCAGGCUACCGAAGAACGGAUGGAGCGGCUUCUCCGGAUAUAGUAAAUCAUCCGGGUUCCUUCCAUCAUACCAUAUAUAGAAAUCCGUCUCGGCAUCGCCCAGUGCCAUCAACGAUAUUACCGUAUAUAGAACAAAUCCGAUCAGAGGACGCACAACUUCCUCAACGAUCGAUGUGCGAUGACCGGUGCAGAGAUUUAUGCUGGCAAAGAGCGUUACCACUGUGAAUAUGUAAAAGAAGGACAUAUAAAAGCUUUGGAUUAGAACAUCUUCCCAUUUCAUCGUUGUCAGAUUGACGAAAACAAAUGCUUUCAGUUGGUAGUACAAAACGAAUAAGUUGGCCGUCGUCUCCACCAUGUAGAAGAGAAAGAGCACCGGGCGCAUUUGAUACAAGUAGACCCUCAUUUCUGCAGUCGCUUCGAACGCUUGACAAAACUAACUACAAUAAGUCUGUGCGACAGGUGUACUAUGUUUGAAGUGAAACGCUUUAAUUCCAGCUCAAAAAUUAAAAAAAAAAAAAAAUAACAGAAUAUGUAGAGCCAGGAACUAAGCUCAAGUCAAUUUGGUCAAAAAGAUUUGGCUAAAACUACAUAAGCGGCCCAAACGAAUGGUCAAAACGAACUGACUAAGAUGAAAGACCAAAACGAAAUAACCAAAGCAAGACAAAAACGAAAUGAUAUAACGAAAUUAAUGGCCAAAACCGAAUGACCAAUACGAAAUGGACAAAAUGCCAUAACCUAAAGCAAAUGGUCAAAAAUGGUCAAAUGAUCAAACGGAAGGAGCAAAGCGAGGUAGUUUCGAAAGAGCUUCAUUCUACUAAUUUACAAUUU
Molecule: non-coding RNA, 1580 nt
Organism: Drosophila melanogaster (fruit fly)
Lineage: Eukaryota; Metazoa; Arthropoda; Insecta; Diptera; Drosophilidae
Source: Ensembl